Molecule: unclassified non-coding RNA, 380 nt
Filed under: uncultured bacterium
Lineage: Bacteria
Description: contains 16S-23S intergenic spacer region
Source: RNAcentral
UCCGAGUUGUCCCCGGCAGUCUCCUUAGAGUCCCCGGCAUUACCCGCUGGCAACUAAGGACAGGGGUUGCGCUCGUUGCGGCACUUAACCCAACAUCUCACGACACGAGCUGACGACAGCUAUGCAGCAUCUGUGCACGCUCCCUUGCGGGUCCCUUCCCUUUCAGGUUGGUACCACGUGCAUGUCAAGCCUAGGUAAGGUUCUGCGCGUUGCGUCGAAUUAAACCACAUGCUCCACCGCUUUUGCGGGCCCCCGUCAAUUCCUUUGAGUUUCAGCCUUGCGGCCGUACUCCCCAGGCGGGGCACUUAAUGCGUUAGCGCCGGCACCCAGGGGGUCGCUCCCCCAGGCACCUAGUGCCCAUCGUUUACGGCGUGGACUAC